RNAcentral lists this non-coding RNA (28 nucleotides) under Homo sapiens (human). Lineage: Eukaryota; Metazoa; Chordata; Mammalia; Primates; Hominidae. The record is from RNAcentral.
UGACACACGGGACAUGCGACAGAGAAAA